CCAAGGCGACGAUCCGUAACUGGUCUGAGAGGAUGAUCAGUCACACUGGAACUGAGACACGGUCCAGACUCCUACGGGAGGCAGCAGUGGGGAAUAUUGGACAAUGGGCGAAAGCCUGAUCCAGCCAUGCCGCGUGUGUGAAGAAGGUCUUCGGAUUGUAAAGCACUUUAAGUUGGGAGGAAGGGCAGUAAGUUAAUACCUUGCUGUUUUGACGUUACCGACAGAAUAAGCACCGGCUAACUCUGUGCCAGCAGCCGCGGUAAUACAGAGGGUGCAAGCGUUAAUCGGAAUUACUGGGCGUAAAGCGCGCGUAGGUGGUUUGUUAAGUUGGAUGUGAAAGCCCCGGGCUCAACCUGGGAACUGCAUCCAAAACUGGCAAGCUAGAGUACGGUAGAGGGUGGUGGAAUUUCCUGUGUAGCGGUGAAAUGCGUAGAUAUAGGAAGGAACACCAGUGGCGAAGGCGACCACCUGGACUGAUACUGACACUGAG
RNAcentral lists this ribosomal RNA (490 nucleotides) under uncultured Pseudomonas sp. Its description in RNAcentral is "bacterial SSU rRNA". It matches the Rfam family "Bacterial small subunit ribosomal RNA", at positions 268 to 750 of the family's 1533-position model. The record is from RNAcentral. Lineage: Bacteria; Pseudomonadati; Pseudomonadota; Gammaproteobacteria; Pseudomonadales; Pseudomonadaceae.